UACGUAGGGUGCGAGCGUUAAUCGGAAUUACUGGGCGUAAAGCGUGCGCAGGCGGUUCGUUGUGUCGGUGGUGAAAUCCCCGGGCUUAACCUGGGAAUGGCCAUGGAAACUGGCGAACUGGAGUGCGGCAGAGGGGGGUGGAAUUCCGCGUGUAGCAGUGAAAUGCGUAGAGAUGCGGAGGAACACCGAUGGCGAAGGCGGCUAACUGGUCCGGUUCUGACGCUGAGGCGCGAAAGCGUGGGGAGCAAACAGG
RNAcentral lists this ribosomal RNA (253 nucleotides) under uncultured bacterium. Its description in RNAcentral is "partial 16S ribosomal RNA". It matches the Rfam family "Bacterial small subunit ribosomal RNA", at positions 524 to 776 of the family's 1533-position model. The record is from RNAcentral.